Molecule: non-coding RNA, 522 nt
Organism: Paramuricea clavata
Lineage: Eukaryota; Metazoa; Cnidaria; Anthozoa; Malacalcyonacea; Plexauridae
Source: the annotation of a GenBank genome assembly
UUAUACUGGAAAGACAGUAACAAAUAUUUUAUAUUUUGAACACCAACUGCACAAUAUAAUAAUACAAAUUUUCGUUUACAUGAAAUACAAUAGGUUAGUUAAAUUAAUUAUUAAUAUAAUAGACUAUUUAUAAUCCGUGAUCACUCAGUGGUGAGGUGUCCUUCAUCACCCUAAGAAAAUCUGCUAAGCUUGACCAUGCAUGCAUUUCUUGCUUUUCGAAAGCGGUUAGAAUAGAACUUCUAUGAGACAAUGCUCAGAUUGUUUAUAUUUAAAUAUCACUGCUAAAUAAUAAACAUGUCAAGGUUGUUAUACAGCCAUUAUACUGUACUUUAACAAAAAGAUUUACUGCACUGUGCUACAGCAACUGUCCAGUCACGCAUACAUAGAAAAGGCCGAUAUAAACCAUAGAUAUCUUAUAUACACUAGAUCGCGCAUCUCUUUUAGUAAAAUUGAAGCCAAGAAUAUUCCAGCGGUUACCCCCAUUUGAAUAGAUGGCGGCCAUGUUGGUCGUUACCACUUGCU